RNAcentral lists this unclassified non-coding RNA (150 nucleotides) under uncultured Mortierellales. RNAcentral describes it as "sequence contains ITS1". The record is from RNAcentral. Lineage: Eukaryota; Fungi; Mortierellomycota; Mortierellomycetes; Mortierellales.
UAAUAAGUGUUCUACUGCACUUUUUAAACAAGUACUCACCUUGUGUGCAAUGUUUGCUGACGCGUCGUUCACGCGUCGCGUCAGCAUAAUACCAACCCUUUAUUGUAACUUUUUUUGUCUGAAAAUAUUUUGAAUAAAUAAUUCUAAAUA